AUUUAAGGAGAGUGCAGGCAAUAAAACAAGCUGCAGUUGCAUGGCAGUCCUGGUUUGUGUAUUGUCUCUGUGUCUGACCCACUCCCCUCUUGUUACACUUUACUAUCAACAAAAUAUAAGCUGAGAUGAUAGAAUAGGUGCAAAGAAAUAUUUCCUCCCCUUGAGCAGCUGACAGCAAAAGAUGCUUCUUGUGAAGGUGUGAAGAUUCUGCUUCUGAAAAUGCAUGAAGGCACUUCACUUGGCUGCCCUUAAGACUCAGAGAGAAGCAGAUUAAACAAGAAAUUCACUUUUAUGAAGAGCACUAUAAUACUUAAGCAUCUGGAUUAUUUCCUGGAGUCAUCAAAAACUUCUAACUGAGCAUGAACUGCUUUCCAAGCUCCAUGGCCUUCUGUACUUUCAGACACUUGAUGAACUGAGAGAGUAAAGAUGGAGGAGGAGUGGGAAAUCUUCAAGGACUCUGAAAAGGAUAUUCCUAAUGUGACAUUAACAGGACUGCAAAUGGUGACUCUUACACUGGCAAUACAUUUCACAUUAUAUAAACACAGUUGCCAGGCAUACUUUAAUAUAUUAGAACUGUAACAAUCUAAAUGGACUCUAAGAUUCUCAAAAUCUGUACUGUGUUUUUCUCUGUAGAGAGAUUCUUAGCAUGCUGUUUUGCUAUAAAUAAAAAAUACUGGUUUAACUAUAGAAAAGCACCAUCUAUGAACCCAUAAAGAAGCCCAAACAGGUUCCUCAAAUAUGAAAACUGCCUAGCAAUGAAGAGGAUGAAAAAUACUGAACUGAACUGAAACUGUACAUAACUGUAGUUAUGUAGAAUGUAACUACCCAAUUUGGAAGGAGGCCAGAGAAACACAAGACAAAUUCUGCCAUCUGUUGCAGUCAUACCAUCUCAGUAAAACCAAUUGGCACAGUUUGGCUCAACACUGAUUCAACCCUUUGAGCCAUGGAAAUUAAUCACUGCAAGUGGUCAAUACCUUGGCCUUGUGCCUCAUUUGGAGGAUUAGACAUUCAAUAGAUUAUCUUUAAACAACUGACUCUCAUAGAAAUCCUCCCAGUCUUCUAAACAGUGAGAAUCUUGAAUUACCACCAAAAAUACUUAAAGUAUGACCUGCCAGGCUGGAGAUGUUAGAGGGUAGAACAUGCUAUCACAUCUGAAAUGGACUAUAUUUUAUACUGGUAAUAGUUCUUUGAAGAAUUAGAAUUCUGUAAGAAAAGUAACCUGUUAUUUCUAAGUUGGUUUUGUCCAUUGGUUUGUAGUCAGU
Long non-coding RNA from Passer domesticus (house sparrow), 1262 nucleotides. RefSeq lists it as uncharacterized. NCBI's taxonomy places the organism in Eukaryota, Metazoa, Chordata, Aves, Passeriformes, Passeridae. The record is from RefSeq and is a predicted model, not a curated record. The transcript is spliced from 5 exons.